RNAcentral lists this long non-coding RNA (285 nucleotides) under Crocodylus porosus (Australian saltwater crocodile). RNAcentral describes it as "lncRNA (ENSCPRG00005009588.1)". Lineage: Eukaryota; Metazoa; Chordata; Crocodylia; Crocodylidae. The record is from RNAcentral.
AGAAGAUCAGAAAUGAUGUAGAAGGGGAAGUCAAAUAAGUUUGCCUUCAUGUAAACUCUUUUUCUUCUCUUUCCAUUUCAGGAUGGUUUUAGUUCUUCUCCAGAGAAAGGCAUCCUGAUAAAAGGAUAUGGGCCAGCCUUUAAUUGCUGCGCCCAGGUCAGCCAUACGCUAGAGAGGACUCCGAUAAUUCCAUACUGGAGCACCUUUACACUUUGUCACAAGGAACAUUAAGUGACUUACAGAGAGUUGACCCAUGGUAUGUAUACAGCAUGAAAAAUAUGGGUC